Molecule: long non-coding RNA, 1283 nt
Organism: Leopardus geoffroyi (Geoffroy's cat)
Lineage: Eukaryota; Metazoa; Chordata; Mammalia; Carnivora; Felidae
Exons: 2
Source: RefSeq, a predicted model, not a curated record
GACAGCCGCCCAGGUGCCCCUGAAAUUGUGUUUUCUUGUAGACAUACUCCAAUAGCUACAGAAAGCAGCUCCCUGUUGAGGAUGAUAGAAAUUGUUGCUUUACACGGACUCUAAGAUUGCCAACGCCUCUCCCUCUGGCUAGAGCCAGAUAGAGAUCCCCUGCUGACUACCAGGAAAUGGGGAGUGCUGUAGAUCGAAUUCCACGCUUACAUAAUACGACAGCAAGAUCAGUUGCGUGCACAUGAUCGCCAGGGUUCCCCUUUCCCCUGACCCUUGAAACGGAGCAGAGUUCCUGAAAACAUUCCAGUUGAAAUGAUAAGGCCAGUUCGUAUGGUCCCUGGAAGAAAGCCGUUGCAGUAACAGUCUUUUGGCCCAGGUGGUCUUGUUUUGAGGACAAUACAGAAUAUUUUUAAGUGUACUAUAUAUAAAGGGAUGAACAAUACUGGAUCCAUUGGGAGUUGACUUCGCCUGGUGUCUACAGAGACAUCUAGUUCAGCCGCACCCCGUAAAUAAAAAACACUUCUUGCUUGGUUUUGCUACAGAAUUACGACCGCCAUGUUUAUUUUACCUCAUGUGAACUUUCAAGUUGUUGUUCAAUUUAUGAAGCACUUUAAAAAGAAAAAAAGAUCACAUCGAAAGAAAACAAUGAUGAAGCACAGACAUGGAAGACUUCCAGCCAAAAAAUGUGUCUUGACCAGACUUCACCAGAAGAAAUUCCAUUGACCUAAUUCAGAAAGGGAUCGGCUAAUAUUCCCAAAUUAUGGAUGCCUCUGGGGGCUGGUGUCAUCCAAAACUGUUUUUUUAUAACGUCCUGGCAUUUGUUAAAGCAAAUCAUUGAAAGGAGCAUCUAUGGGGAUGAUUCUGUGGCUUCUCUUAUAAUGAGUAGAAGUCCACGUUGCAAGACUUUGCUCCUUAAACAGAUCUGAGAUGGUUUUCUUUUCUUCCUUUUCUUCUAUUGUGUUUUUAAACUUUUGAUGUAUUGUUUUACCCUGUUUUGGUUCCAGGAACAUCCAUGUUCAUGAGGAGUGGGUGUCUUUUAUCCAGCACCCUUACAGUGAUGCUGAGCACGGUUGUCCUUCCCCAACCUGUGGAGACAAGGUGUUGGCACAAUCUUGAGGAUGACGUUCCAAUCCUACUUAACAAUGGUGUUGCUUAACCUUCUCUGUGCCAGGCACCUAGGACUGGCUCCCUGAACGCUCUUUCCCUCACCACGCUGUUAGAUACAGUAAAUCUCCAACUGGGUUCCACGAUAGCCUAUUAAAACACAUUCAUGUUGCAGAGCC